Non-coding RNA from Microcebus murinus (gray mouse lemur), 326 nucleotides. NCBI's taxonomy places the organism in Eukaryota, Metazoa, Chordata, Mammalia, Primates, Cheirogaleidae. The record is from RefSeq and is a predicted model, not a curated record.
UUUGUAAAGGGCUGACAUUAACAUUGCACCGGGAAUCGUGGACACAGAAUAAAUGUUUCUUUAUUUUUCUUCCUUCUCGCAGAGGCUCAAAGAACACCUGGAAAAACCCCAAAGAUCUCAGUAGUAGAGGCUGACAGAUCGUGUAACUGAGAAAUCAAGAAUCUCUUUAUUGGAUGCAGGGUCAAUUUAGCCCUUGCAAGAAAUGUGUUUCAAAAUUUGGUUAUAAAUAAUAAUUGUGGAAUCAUAUUCCAUUGGGGUGUGACUGUGCAGGUUGUUCACACCUUGUGUCCCUUCCAACUGGUUGUUGCCGAUUCACCAGUAUUCAC